GUGCCCACAUUGGCAGCACAUUUACUAAAACUAGAAGGACACAAAGAAGAUUAGCAUGGCACCUGCAUAAGGAUGACACUGAAAUUCAUGAAGUGCGCCAUAUAUUU
Small nuclear RNA from Hyaena hyaena (striped hyena), 107 nucleotides. The record is from RefSeq and is a predicted model, not a curated record. Lineage: Eukaryota; Metazoa; Chordata; Mammalia; Carnivora; Hyaenidae.